GUGAAUCAUCAAAAUUUUGAACGCAAAAUGCACUCUCCUCGGAGAGUAAGCCUGUUUGAGGGGCAGCCUAUAAAAAUCGACAUCGGUGCUGUUUCGCGGUGGCGUUCGGCGGAAAUUGGGGAAUCUUAAAUCCUUUUGAUUUAAGCGACUUAAAAUUUUCUUUUGGUUCCAUGGACGUUUCUAAGAGUUAUUUCUUUACACGUUUAAGGUAUCGAUGUUUACUAGAAGGG
This 230-nucleotide unclassified non-coding RNA is filed under the name Glomeraceae sp. RNAcentral's name for it is "partial contains 5.8S ribosomal RNA and internal transcribed spacer 2". The record is from RNAcentral. Lineage: Eukaryota; Fungi; Glomeromycota; Glomeromycetes; Glomerales; Glomeraceae.